RNAcentral lists this ribosomal RNA (467 nucleotides) under uncultured bacterium. Its description in RNAcentral is "bacterial SSU rRNA". It matches the Rfam family "Bacterial small subunit ribosomal RNA", at positions 34 to 518 of the family's 1533-position model. The record is from RNAcentral.
CGCUGGCGGCACGCUUAACACAGUGCAAGUCGAACGGAGUUUGGAGCUUGCUCCAAACGUUAGUGGCGGACGGGUGAGUAACACGUGAGCAACCUACCUCUGAGAGCGGAAUAGCUUCUGGAAACGGAUGGUAAUACCGCAUGACAUUGUGAAGCCGCAUGACUUUACAAUCAAAUGAAUUUCGCUCAGAGAUGGGCUCGCGCCUGAUUAGCUAGAUGGUGAGGUAACGGCCCACCAUGGCGACGAUCAGUAGCCGGACUGAGAGGUUGAACGGCCACAUUGGGACUGAGACACGGCCCAGACUCCUACGGGAGGCAGCAGUGGGGAAUAUUGCACAAUGGGCGAAAGCCUGAAUGCAGCGAUGCCGCGUGGAGGAAGAAGGUUUUCGGAUUGUAAACUCCUUUUUCAGGGACGAUAAUGACGGUACCUGAAGAAGAAGCUCCGGCUAACUACGUGCCAGCAGCCGC